UGCAAGUCGAGCGGCCCUGUCAAGGCGUUAUGUUUUGGCAGGUUUAGCGGCGGACGGGUGAGUAACGCGUGAGCAACCUACCCUUGAGACAGGGAUAACCCUGGGAAACCGGGGCUAAUACCUGAUAUACUCUAUUAGGGCAUCCUGAUGGAGGAAAGGGCGGGAAGCCGCUCAAGGAUGGGCUCGCGUCCCAUCAGCUAGUUGGUGAGGUAACGGCUCACCAAGGCGACGACGGGUAGCCGGCCUGAGAGGGUGGUCGGCCACACUGGGACUGAGACACGGCCCAGACUCCUACGGGAGGCAGCAGUGGGGAAUCUUGCGCAAUGGGCGAAAGCCUGACGCAGCGACGCCGCGUGAGCGAGGAAGGCCUUCGGGUCGUAAAGCUCGAUAGUGUGGGAAGAAGGGAUGACGGUACCACACGAAAG
Molecule: ribosomal RNA, 425 nt
Filed under: uncultured bacterium
Lineage: Bacteria
Description: bacterial SSU rRNA
Rfam family: Bacterial small subunit ribosomal RNA
Source: RNAcentral